GAUGAACCUCUUCGGAGGGGAUUAGUGGCGAACGGGUGAGUAACACGUGGGCAAUCUGCCCUGCACUCUGGGACAAGCCCUGGAAACGGGGUCUAAUACCGGAUACGACCAUCUCGGGCAUCCGAUGGUGGUGGAAAGCUCCGGCGGUGCAGGAUGAGCCCGCGGCCUAUCAGCUUGUUGGUGGGGUGAUGGCCUACCAAGGCGACGACGGGUAGCCGGCCUGAGAGGGCGACCGGCCACACUGGGACUGAGACACGGCCCAGACUCCUACGGGAGGCAGCAGUGGGGAAUAUUGCACAAUGGGCGGAAGCCUGAUGCAGCGACGCCGCGUGAGGGAUGACGGCCUUCGGGUUGUAAACCUCUUUCAGCAGGGAAGAAGCGCAAGUGACGGUACCUGCAGAAGAAGCACCGGCUAACUACGUGCCAGCAGCCGCGGUAAUACGUAGGGUGCGAGCGUUGUCCGGAAUUAUUGGGCGUAAAGAGCUCGUAGGCGGCUUGUCGCGUCGGAUGUGAAAGCCCGGGGCUUAACCCCGGGUCUGCAUUCGAUACGGGCAGGCUAGAGUUCGGUAGGGGAGAUCGGAAUUCCUGGUGUAGCGGUGAAAUGCGCAGAUAUCAGGAGGAACACCGGUGGCGAAGGCGGAUCUCUGGGCCGAUACUGACGCUGAGGAGCGAAAGCGUGGGGAGCGAACAGGAUUAGAUACCCUGGUAGUCCACGCCGUA
This 720-nucleotide ribosomal RNA is filed under the name Streptomyces sp. 8-85. Its description in RNAcentral is "bacterial SSU rRNA". It matches the Rfam family "Bacterial small subunit ribosomal RNA", at positions 68 to 804 of the family's 1533-position model. The record is from RNAcentral. Lineage: Bacteria; Bacillati; Actinomycetota; Actinomycetes; Kitasatosporales; Streptomycetaceae.